Rana temporaria (common frog) is the source of this 155-nucleotide long non-coding RNA. RefSeq lists it as uncharacterized. The record is from RefSeq and is a predicted model, not a curated record. The transcript is spliced from 2 exons. Lineage: Eukaryota; Metazoa; Chordata; Amphibia; Anura; Ranidae.
GAAGAACAAGCGGAGGAAGGAGAAAGUGGCACCACAACAGGAGCUUUGAUGGCUGGGGACGGCUUGGAUACACACAGCGCCCAGCUGCUAAUUGGCGAGGUGAUGGCCUGCUGUGCUGACAUGGAGGACAUCAACACAAGUUUGGGGCAGAUAAG